CAACUGGAUAGCAUCAUAAAACAAAUAUCAGCUGUCAAGCUGUAGCUACUAGCCAGCUGUAGGGACGGCUAUAUUUAUCUUGUCCACAAAGAAUUUAUUUGUCCCAUUUUGCACAUAUCACAGAGACACAACAGACUGCAUUAAUGCCAUCUAGUCACUUUUUAUCUCCAUGUUGGAAUAAACGGCACACAUCAGACUUUAUGAUUCACUGAUAAAGAUUUAUACUGUUUAUUAAUAUUGGACUUUUGCUCCAGAUUAAUCAUUCCAAAGCUCAUGAAUGGAGUCAUAUUGCUUUGCUGGUUUACUCGGGGUGAGCGCCUCAGAGCCAAAGGUUCAUGCUCUAGAGGCUCUGGUGUCUGCACCAGUAGAGUCAGGGACAUUCAGGUAUUUUAUCUGCUGACACUUUAGCCUGAGUUUGUUUAGCCAAUUUCUGCCACACAGUGAUGAUCCAUUUCCCUUAGCAAUUAAAAGUGGAAAGUCCUCUGUUUGACCCUCAUAGACCACCAUGGCUGUGAUCCUCCCCAAAACCGGAACACGUGGUGAUUUUUCCCUUUGCAUCUGUAGCAGUUCUUAGUUCCCUGUGGCCUCACGUUGAGAACGCUUGCUGCCUCAACGUUUUCACUCUCCAUCCCUCUCAACUGACAUGUGUCUCUGUCGGCCGUCUUCGUGUUGAGAACAAUCUCAAAAGCUUUGGCAAAAGUGAGAUCAUUUUCAGAGAGUAGCCUCGUCUGAGAGGCUUUGUUUCUUAUUCCACUGACAAACCUUUCUUGUAGUGAUGAGUCUAUGUUUGCACCAAACUCACAAUUAGCUGCACAUUGCUUCAGCUCAGCUACAUACCGUUAGCCCACUGACUGGUUAGCCUAGUGGUUACACUAAUUAAAACAGAACCUUUCUGCUACCAAUAAACCUUUGGUUUGAAAUGUUCCUUGUGAAUGGCCACUAUUUUGUCAAAUGUUUUGUCUUUUGGCUUACUAGGCUGCACUAAAUUUCUCAAGAGUCCAUAGGUAGCUGCGCCCAUUACACUUAGCAACGUGGCUACUUGCUUCUCUACAGCUAUGUCGUUAGCUUGGAAGAACUGUUCCAGCCGUUCGAUGUACGCUGACUACUGCUCAUUUUCUGGCUUGAACUCAUCAAUUCCUCCAAACUCACUAGUACCAACACCUAGUGGAAAAUAUUAUUUUAAUAAUCGUCACCAGUUUCUGUUCUGUGAUGUAUUAACAAGGUGGAUGCAGAGGUAGCAUUCAUUCACUUUACCAGGCCAUAUUUCUCAUUACAGCUCAAUGCACAUGCAGCCCACUUACAACCGUAUUCAUAGAGGUCCAAAAAUAUAAGUGAACAUAUUAAUCGUACAACAAUUAUGUGAUCAACAUACCACAGUUUUUAUCAGCAAAAUCACUAUAUAAAUUCAAUAAUAUCUCACUUGAAAGAAAUAAAAAAUGUCAGCAAAAUAAAUAAUAAUCCUGUCAUUAAGAUACUGAGAAAAGUUUAGAAAGUAGACAAACACAGAACACAGACAUCAGUCAGUAUCAUCAUCCCGUCCUCCUCCUCCCCCCUCUGCUGCUGGUUGAGGGGAGGUGCUGUUUCAGCCAGUAGCUAAAUUUACAGGGAUUUGCCAAAUUUAAUACAUAUUACAAACUAAGCUAAACACAAACACUGACAAAUAGAGCAGAGGAGAGGACAGAGAAGCUAGCGUGACCAUAAAUGACAGCAAAAUGUGGUAGAGACUCAGCAUAGUUUCCCUGUGUGUCUACACAGGAGGCGUACAGGUACAGUGUUGAGCAUAGGUCACGUGUUUUAGGUUGCACGUUUCAAAGCACUCAGAGCCCAAUACACAAAUUUUACUGUAGUUAUGCAUGUAAAAUGGAGGAAGAUAGACUUAAAAAACAGGAAAACCCUGAAGUCUACUGAUGAAAUUGUGAAAAUGUGCAUUCGACUGUAAGAACUAAACUGACAUUAAAAACAGACACACACAAGAACACUUCAAUGCCCCCCUUUCAAAAAUGUUGCUUCCAGCGCACCCCAACUUUCUCUGAACGCCCCCUGCUCAGCACUAACAAACCAGGACCAGUUUUGAAAUCAUUUAGGUCUCUCUAAUAAUGUAGUUCAAUAUCUGAUGGCUUGUCCUUGACUUAUCAGUCUAAAGCCGUUACCCUCAUGCCAGCUGCAGUUAGUACAUGAACUAUGACGUACACUCAAGAAAAAAUAAACAUCUAUUCUGGCAGACACACUUUACAACUAUUAUGAACUCAUUUUUGUCCAACAGAAAAUGUAAACACUGAUACAAAACUAUUAACAAGCCCAGCCAUCAUUUAUGAUUAUGAUGACGCAAAACAGUGAACCUAUUCAAUCAUUUCCAUUCAAACUCCACAUCAUUUGUUUAUGUUACACUACAAAUAGCAAAACAGGUUUAUCGCUUAGUACAAAAAAAUUGUGCCUGAUGUCGCCAUAGGACUUUGUUUUUUUUCCUCCACCUAUGACAAAUGAUGAAUAUGUUUUCACAGGAGAAACCAUGACCUCUGCAUCAGUUAGCACAGCUCUGUGUGUGUACGAGGACAGGAGAGGUUACGUGUGUGUCUAGGCGUGUGUACUGGGCCAUGUGCUUGUGUGUAGAUGUUGAAAUAAUGCAGUGAAACCUGUCACUUGUUUUGAUUUCUUCGCUUUCUUUCCAAGUCUGCCUAUGAUUAACCAUACACUAUGUCUAUACAUUGUGCUUAUUGUGACAUUUAUAUUACUCCUUGUAUCAGUUUGGUGUGUAAAGCAUUAUUCCAAAUUGAAGUCAGGCCUCCUGUAGCGAUACAUUGAGGAGUGACAGCGAUGAGUCAGGGGGAGGGAGCUUGUGACUGUCAGCAGCAAACCUCCUGCAGUAAUCCCACAUCACCAUCGGAUUGCUUGUUCACAAGUUGUGUGCGGUCGCCAGAGGCCGCAGUGUUAAAGGUCAGAGAGUACAGAUAUAUCAUAGUGUGACCUCCAUCAAAUAGAGUGACCAUGAAAUCUGGACAAGGUGCAGUGUCAAGCAUCACUGGCCAGCUAAUCGUCAAAUUAUUCUGAGAGUGUGGUAUGCGGAGAUUGCUGGUUUUCUCUGAGGUCAUGGGAAGUAUUUUCAUGUCAAGGAAAUCUCUGCUGUUUAAAGAGAAAAUACAGAUAAUGUAGCCAUACAGGAUUCAACCUGGAGGUCACGUCUCACUGUACUUAUGCAGGCAGCUGAAACGAGCUGUAAGUAGAAUUUCAGGCUUUAUAUACCUGUUGGCCUUCAGGCAUGUUUAUAGCUCUUGGCUUUUAGUCAGUUUGAUGUGUAGUGUGUAGCCAAAAUAAGGGUUAACAGCUCUGCUGUUAAGAGCAGGUUGGGACGAGGACAAACAAUAAAGUCAUCAGAUGCUUUAUGGGAAUAAAAGGGGAUUUUUGCUUUUAGUGGGGUUGAAAUUUGCAAUUACAGCAGUGCUUUAGAAGGGAAAUCUUAACUGGAUAAAAACCAGAGCAGCUGCUGUAAUCAGAAACUGACAAGUUCAUACUUUAGCUGAGCAAAUAACUAUUCAUUUCAUUUCAGUUUUCCUUUCACCUGUAACCACUUUUGCUUUCAGGAAAUGUCAUCCGCCCCCAGUGAGUAACACAGACCCAAUUUCAAUUCCUAUAGAUAAACUGAAACAAUUACAGUCAUUACUACCAAUGUUAUUACAGUAAGACAAUCGUGUUAUUUCAUAUUUAUGUACCCUGUGCAUGGAGGACAUGUUAAACUCUGUUGUUAAGUAUCAAUAUACAGUUCAUACAUGACUUAUUACUGUGCUGAGUUUCUCCAUUUAGACAAAUGGCCCUGGAUGAAAAGGGACUCGGGGGAUCUCGCACUUCAGGGUCACCACUUCCACUAAAACCUAGAAGAACAAGCCAACACAAGGAUGACCCUUGACAUCGCAUGUCUUACAACAUUAAAGCCGGAGCAGCAGCAGAGAGGGUUAAAGUGUGGCCAUGACCCUGCUGAGGGAGUGCUUCUGGGUGGUCAAACGGGGUCACGGUUUCACAGAGGAGCAGCCAGAGGUUAGGCAGGAGUGACAGGAGACCAGCAUACAGGCAACACAUCCAUCCAACACCAGAGUGAAACAAGUCACUCCGACAAUGGUCAAGCUCUCAUCCAUCUUGUCUCAAUGGUCCACUUACUCCUGUUUGUGUAUGUUUCCCUCAUUCACCACUUCCUGUACUUCUGUGUGUGACACAUUUUCAGCUCAUUGGCUGCAUCAAGACACAUGAAACAUCUUUAGAGGCAUUUCUGCAUUUUUACUUGUGGAAUUGGAUCUUUGAUGUGCAUUUAAAAAUACACCUUAUGUUCACCUCUUUUCUGUUAUUUAGAUCAUAAAGCAUGAUGUUCUUUCACUUCUAGAGUCCAUCUGUUGACACUCAUAUCUUGUUAGCACAAUCAGCUAUGGAGACAGAGUAAUUAGAGAACUUUGUUCCUGUGUGUCCUCUCAUGAGUCUGAUGUGAUUUAUGUAUGUGACAGGUGUUUGUACAAAUAUACACACAAUCGGGGCGUGCCGUAUCUGUUAUCACCAUCAAGUCAAAGCCGUAUUGUUACCAAAGAGAACUUUUGCUCCCCUCUCAUUAGACCAACAAGUUUGCUGAUGCCAGAAUAAACCAUUGCUGAAUUAAUGUCAUCAGAUCUGUCGAUUCUCAUAACAUAGCAGAGCAUUACUUUUGUUAUGAAGUCAUUUAAAUUCAUGUUUCAUGGUCAACAUUCAGAGUACCCUGAGAGGAUUUAGUUGAACUGCUGCCCAUUGGAUAAUUAUGUUUAUUUAGUUGUUUAAUAAAAA
This is a long non-coding RNA of Thunnus maccoyii (southern bluefin tuna), 4797 nucleotides long. RefSeq lists it as uncharacterized. The record is from RefSeq and is a predicted model, not a curated record. The transcript has 3 exons. Lineage: Eukaryota; Metazoa; Chordata; Actinopteri; Scombriformes; Scombridae.